Molecule: non-coding RNA, 286 nt
Organism: Lonchura striata (white-rumped munia)
Lineage: Eukaryota; Metazoa; Chordata; Aves; Passeriformes; Estrildidae
Source: RefSeq, a predicted model, not a curated record
AGCGCAGCUCCAGCCUCUACGCCCGCGAGGCUCUGAUCGAGAUCGACUACAGCGACCUGCCCGAGGAGCUGAAGGACGCGCAGGCGGAGGAGGAGAUCCGGCAGGAGAUGGCGGCGCUGCAGCAGCGGCUGACGGAGCAGCAGAGCGUCCUGCAGCGCAUCGCCGCGCCCAACAUGAAGGCCAUGGAGAAGCUGGAGAGCGUCCGCGACAAGUUCCAGGAGACCUCGGACGAGUUCGAGGCCGCCCGCAAGCGCGCCAAGAAGGCCAAGCAGGCGUUUGAGCAGAU